Molecule: long non-coding RNA, 152 nt
Organism: Octopus sinensis (East Asian common octopus)
Lineage: Eukaryota; Metazoa; Mollusca; Cephalopoda; Octopoda; Octopodidae
Exons: 4
Source: RefSeq, a predicted model, not a curated record
UUGUAUUUUGGAGCGAGACACUCUAUUUCCCGUUGCUCCAGUCCGCUCAGCUGGCAAAAAUGAGUUGUACCUGUAUUUCAAUGGGCCAGCCUUGCCACACUGUGUCACGCUGAACUUCCUUGAGAAUUACGUUAAGCGUGUGUGUGUUUGUG